CCUACGGGAGGCUGCAGUGGGGAAUAUUGGGCAAUGGGCGCAAGCCUGACCCAGCAACGCCGCGUGAGGGAAGAAGGCUUUCGGGUUGUAAACUUCUUUUCUCAGGGACGAAGCAAAUGACGGUACCUGAGGAAUCAGCCACUGCUAACUACGCGCCAGCAGCCGCGGUAAUACGGAGGUGGCAAGCGUUAGCCGGAUUUACUGGGAGUAAGGGGCGUGUAGGCGGGACUGCAAGUCAGAUGUGAAAGCCAUGGGCGCAACCUCUGGCCUGCAUUUGAAACUGUAGUGCUUGAGUACUGGAGGGGCAGACGGAAUUCCUAGUGUAGCGGUGAAAUGCGUAGAUAUUAGGAGGAACACCAGUGGCGAAGGCGGCCUGCUGGACAGUAACUGACGCUGAGGCGCGAAAGCGUGGGGAGCAAACAGGAUUAGAUACCCGAGUAGUC
RNAcentral lists this ribosomal RNA (443 nucleotides) under uncultured bacterium. RNAcentral's name for it is "partial 16S ribosomal RNA". It matches the Rfam family "Bacterial small subunit ribosomal RNA", at positions 338 to 795 of the family's 1533-position model. The record is from RNAcentral.